RNAcentral lists this long non-coding RNA (377 nucleotides) under Olea europaea (common olive). Its description in RNAcentral is "long non-coding RNA (OEUR_LNC015170)". Lineage: Eukaryota; Viridiplantae; Streptophyta; Magnoliopsida; Lamiales; Oleaceae. The record is from RNAcentral.
UUUCUUAAUUCUUCUUCACACUAUCCGUUAUCCACAUAUUAUUUUUCUACUUUCUUCUCUCAUAGUCAUAAAGUCAUAACAUAUAAAUAAGAAAGACGGGACUUACAACUGAGAGACGAGAGUGAUGAAAUCCGAAAGUUGAUUCCACAUAAAAUCGAGGAACUUAAGUAUUUUGCUUCCUGUGUUUCAAGGACAAAAACCAAUUUCGAGCAUUUCAAUUUAAAUGUAUCAAAUUGGUAAAGUUUAAUGGUUAGAAAGAGAAGAGAAAUACCUUCUUUUCUUCCAAUUUGUUGGGGGCCUAAAACAGAGACGGCGGAGAGGCUCACUUCCAAAGUCCAAAAGGCAAAACUGUUUCAUCUUCUUCUUGCCACUUCUUU